This is a long non-coding RNA of Rhincodon typus (whale shark), 1056 nucleotides long. RefSeq lists it as uncharacterized. The transcript has 3 exons. Lineage: Eukaryota; Metazoa; Chordata; Chondrichthyes; Orectolobiformes; Rhincodontidae. The record is from RefSeq and is a predicted model, not a curated record.
UCCCCCAAACCCCACAGCCAGCUGCGCGCGCGCACAGUUCGAGGGGUGAGGGGUAACCGUUGCCUUCUCUGCUCCUCCAUCACCGUUUUAAUCGUCCUUCUCGUCAGGGUAGGCUCUUGGCCUACAGCAGUACACCCCUGAAAAGAGACUGGGCCGGUUUAGGAUUACACAGACCUCCAGCGUCCGCAGGUUUUCUGUUUUAUCCAAGACGGGCUGGAGCAGGUAUAUGGAACUCACUGCCUAAAAGAGUGCUCGAGGCAGGAACCCUCAGGACAUCUAAGGAGUGUUUAGAUGAGCGCUUGAAAUACCAUAUGAUACAAUGUUAUUUCCAAGCAUUGGAAAAUGACCAGCAUGGACACAAUGGGCCAAAGGGUUUCUUUCCUUGCGGUGCUAGCAGUGGACCACUGAACCUACAACAGAAAUGGAGACCCUCAAUUCCAACUCCACCUUGAGGAGGAAGUCACCGAACCCUCAGAGGAUGUACCAGGAAGGCUCUCAACUCCACAGUCCAAUCAGGAGAUUUCAACAGAGUUACAUUCACAGUUGAUAGUACACCAGUCAUGCUUUGUUGCAUUUUUGCAGAAGUGAUCCUGACUUCCCCUCUUUUGUCAAUUACCACAUUAUAAUCAACCAACAAGCAUUAGUGAGUAAAAUUAUGGACUUUUCUCAUGUAGUUGUUAAAAUUAUAAACUCAAUUCCAGCAAGAGCCCUCUUGCAUCCCUUGACUAAAUCUUUGCUCAUCAAAUGUGAUGCUGCCUACGGUGAACUAGUCCUCUUGGCUGAUUUGAGGUAGUUAAGUCGAGCGAAGGUCGUGAUUUUUAGAUCUAAUUCCUGAAAUUGUCACUUUUCUAAAAUCAAGAAAUUUUAUGUGUACAUUGAGCUGUCAGACAAUGCAUGGUUACUUGACUUCAGGUUCCUUACAAAUGUAACUUUAAAACUGGACAAGCUGAGCUGUGAACUACAGAGAAAGAUUUAGUACGUGGGAUCAGUGCUGUGAAUGCAUUCAAAUUGAAGCAGGGUCUGUGAUUUUUCCAAUUAAAAAAUAGAACACUUCAA